GUUCAAAAAGCUUUAAUGAUGCUAACCUCUAAGUCUUGAAAGUGGUGUGUACUGAACUUAUAGAGACGUAUGUAAAGUAAAAAUAUAUGUGAUAAUGUGGUUGUCACCCUCCCCCUUUUUUAGUUUCUUCUUAUCGAACCAACAGUAUCCCUUACCAACUUGAUAAAGUCGUCCUUCAGGAGAAAAUAUAGUAAUAUGUCUGUCGAAACCUGCACUGCUACCUCGAGACAUCUUUUUAUGAACAAAUGUCCAUGAAAUUAUAAAAAAUGCCGGGUGAUAAAGCUCUUUCAAAAGUGCUGACUUUACUGUCUG
Molecule: long non-coding RNA, 312 nt
Filed under: Mytilus galloprovincialis (Mediterranean mussel)
Lineage: Eukaryota; Metazoa; Mollusca; Bivalvia; Mytilida; Mytilidae
Source: RNAcentral